RNAcentral lists this ribosomal RNA (864 nucleotides) under Rhizobium sp. RNAcentral's name for it is "bacterial SSU rRNA". It matches the Rfam family "Bacterial small subunit ribosomal RNA", at positions 46 to 960 of the family's 1533-position model. Lineage: Bacteria; Pseudomonadati; Pseudomonadota; Alphaproteobacteria; Hyphomicrobiales; Rhizobiaceae. The record is from RNAcentral.
GCUUACACAUGCAAGUCGAGCGCCCUUUAGGGGGAGCGGCAGACGGGUGAGUAACGCGUGGGAAUCUACCUUUUGCUACGGAAUAACGCAGGGAAACUUGUGCUAAUACCGUAUGUGUCCUUCGGGAGAAAGAUUUAUCGGCAAGAGAUGAGCCCGCGUUGGAUUAGCUAGUUGGUGGGGUAAAGGCCUACCAAGGCGACGAUCCAUAGCUGGUCUGAGAGGAUGAUCAGCCACAUUGGGACUGAGACACGGCCCAAACUCCUACGGGAGGCAGCAGUGGGGAAUAUUGGACAAUGGGCGCAAGCCUGAUCCAGCCAUGCCGCGUGAGUGAUGAAGGCCCUAGGGUUGUAAAGCUCUUUCACCGGAGAAGAUAAUGACGGUAUCCGGAGAAGAAGCCCCGGCUAACUUCGUGCCAGCAGCCGCGGUAAUACGAAGGGGGCUAGCGUUGUUCGGAAUUACUGGGCGUAAAGCGCACGUAGGCGGAUCGAUCAGUCAGGGGUGAAAUCCCAGGGCUCAACCCUGGAACUGCCUUUGAUACUGUCGAUCUGGAGUAUGGAAGAGGUGAGUGGAAUUCCGAGUGUAGAGGUGAAAUUCGUAGAUAUUCGGAGGAACACCAGUGGCGAAAGCGGCUCACUGGUCCAUUACUGACGCUCAGGUGCGAAAGCGUGGGGAGCAAACAGGAUUAGAUACCCUGGUAGUCCACGCCGUGGACGAUGAACGUUAGCCGUCCGGCAGUAUACUGUUCUGUGGCGCAGCUAACGCACUAUACAUUCCCCCUGCGGAGUACGGUCGCCAGAUUAAAACUCAAAUGAAAUGACAGGGGCGCGCACACACGGUGGAGCACGUGGUUUAUUUAGGAGCAAC